ACAUAUGAGGUCGAGUGUGUAGACUAGGGCCUGGGCUAAAGUUUGAGAGCAUGGUAAGGUGAGCAACCUAGUGUCAAGAAUGAGGAUGGUUUGUUUGAAAGAUAGCUCUAGAUUAGCCAGGAGAUAGGCUAGGUGCAUUGGCAUAAAAGAGUUUGGAGAAGCUUAGAGGCUAGCCUAGUAUGUAAGUACUAAAGGUUCUAGAAUGGCUUGGAACAGGAACAGUAGUAGGUAUUGUAGUGCCCGGAUAAGGAAGGCUCAGGAAGGCCCUAGUUAUGGGUAGAGUAGUGACUAGAUGGAAAAGGUUCUGGAACUUAUUAGGCAUGGCCACUUAGCAAGAGUGCCUAGACUCUUCUAGACUUGAGGCUCAGUGGGGAGCCAAGAACAAGCUGGAUUGUACAAAGGCCUUAGCUAAACUAGGACGCAUCUAGGGGCCAUGGAAGGGUCUAAAAGGCUUACAAAAGCCACACAUUUAGAUAAAUAAAGGCCAUAUGUGUUAGGAAGGCUCAGGUAUAAAUAGAGGCUUUCCCCCUCAUUUACAAUUCAUAGGAGAAGCAACAAGAGAAAAGUAAGAGGAACCAAGUCAUAGACUUUGUCAUAUUAGACACUUGGGGAUAGACAUAAGAGUCAAUGUAAAAGCAAUUGUACAUAGCAUCAAGUAAAUAGAAAUACAAUUGCUUUAACUCUCUUUCCUAGCUUUCGUCCAAGCUCUUAAAAAGCCAAUGGAGUCCAUAGCACAAGCAUUUAACAUAAAGUUAGAAAAGAGGCUAUCUUAGGCACAUGCAUAGUAGUUUCUAACCUAAGGCGACAUGGGUGCUAGGCUUAAGCCCCUAGCCUAUGACACCUACUGUUGAUGCUACCCUAGACCCCUGACCUUUGACUAAGUCCUUGAAUCGACCAAUGGCUCCUUAGGGUGGUGGAAGUAGAAGCUACGAUCAUAGGCUUGGUCUAGCCAAGUCUUUUAGGUAUUUGGUAGUCUCAUGGCCCUUUCUCGUUGGCCACAAAAAUGCCUUUGCCUAGCUAAGCUCAUGCAUGUGUCAUGGGUUAGGGCUUAAGCCUAAGAGUGGAAAAGUCCCAUGUGAAUAGCACUUGUAUAUGGGUUGGUCAAUCCUAAGAGAUGAGGGAAGCCCAUCCGAUAAUGCAUUCAACAUGAGCUUCGAAAGGAAAUUAGGUUAAAAUUCCUAAACUAGGGCAUGAUAGUUGAUGGCAAUGUUAGGCAGUCUGAAAACAUCAGUAGGAGCCUUAGGAAGAGUUAUCCUUUUUGUUUAACAACCUGCCCACCCUAGAAAUGGCUCAAUCAGAGGUAAGGUCUAGUGGCUAGAAAAAGCAUUUCAUGUUGCAUGGUGUUUAGUGCACCCCUAACAAGCUUUGAAAAUAUAGGAUUGAGUGCUAUCUGCACUCAAUGGUACUCAUAACUACAUCAGGUCUCUAAAGUGAAUAGCUUCUUGUCAAUGGAAUAGUGUUGGCAAGGGAAGUUAGUAAAAUGGAUUUGUAACCUCGACAAAAGGAUUAGCUCUGAGGGCUAGGCAUGGAGGUCCUAAUCCUAAACCCAUUCAGUGUUGGUGCACUGUUUGAACUGCUCCCAUGGUGCGAGUGGGUCACUGCGUGCCAGUCGGGAGAUGGUUGGGAAUGGCACCCUCAGGGGCUUGUUGUAAGCGAUAAAUAGUUAACUUAAAACUAGUACAGAUAAGGGGAAUUUGAUUGUUUAAUUAAAACAAAGCAUUGCAAUGGUCCUUAUGGAUGCUCACGCAAUGUGAUUUCUACCCAGGCUCUAAAUGUCAAAGUGAAGAAAUUCAAUCAUGCACAGGUAAAUGGCAGGAGUAACUAUGACUCUCUGAAGGUAGCCAAGUGCCUCGUCAACUAAUUAGUGAUGCACAUGAAUGGAUUAAUGAGAUUCCCACUACCUAUGUUUACUAUCUAGGGAAAACAUAACCAAUGGAAUGGGCUGGGUGGAAUCAACAGGGAAAGAAGACCUUGUUGUCUUUACUCUAGUCCAACUUUGUGAAAUGACUUGAGAGGUGUAGGACAAGUGGGAGCCCUCGAGCAAAAUUGAAAUACCACUACUUUUAACAUUAUUUAACCUAUUCGAUGAAUCAGAGGCAAGGUAUGACCCCUUUUUUUAAACCCAAGGUUAGCCUUGCUCGAUUGAUCAAGGUAGAAGACAAUGUUAGGUGGGUAGAUUGGCUGGGGUAGCACAUCUAUUGAAAGAUAAUGCAAGUGUCCUAGAAUGAACUUAAUGAGAAUAGAAAUCUCAUGUGGAACAAAAGGCAAAAGCUUGUUUGAUUCUAAUUUCCAGUACGAAUAUGAACUAUGAAAGCAUGGCCUAUCAAUCAUUUGAAAUUUGAAGCUAGAGGUGUCAGAAAAGUUAACACAAGGAUAACUAGCUUGUGGUAGCCAAGUGUUCAUAGCGACAUUUCUUUUUAAUCAUUCGAUAUCUGCUUUUCCUAUCAUUGUGAAGCAUAAUUCACCAAAUGUUGGAUUGUUCACGUAGCAAUAGGGAACAUAAGUUGGGUUUAGACUAUCAUGAGACAGGUUAGUUUUACUUUACUGAUGGCAGUGUCACAAUAGUAAUUCAACCUAGUAUGAAAUGAACCAUUGAUUCACACAAUUGGUCAUCGCACUCAGUUGAAAAGCUAGUGGCAUGAAGCUACCAAGCUUUGGAUUAUGACUAAAUGCGUCUAAGUAAGAAUCUAGGCUAGAAGCAAUGCACAUGCCCAUCACUCAAUUGCCAACAUAUAGUAGAGGCCCAUAGACCAUAAGAGCAAAUUUCGUAGGUGUAACCCUCAUGGCAAACAGGCCAUGCAGGCCUCUUGGAGCUCAAUUCCCAUCGAGCAAAAGGUAGAAUCCUUUGCAAAUGGCUUAAAUACGUAAUAGGGUAUUGUAAGGGGUAGAGUGGCCUUGCUACCACAAUCCACUAAGAUUCAAC
Molecule: ribosomal RNA, 2923 nt
Filed under: Durio zibethinus
Lineage: Eukaryota; Viridiplantae; Streptophyta; Magnoliopsida; Malvales; Malvaceae
Description: eukaryotic LSU rRNA
Rfam family: Eukaryotic large subunit ribosomal RNA (bases 578-2923)
Source: RNAcentral